This 82-nucleotide small nuclear RNA is filed under the name Pan troglodytes (chimpanzee). It matches the Rfam family "U4 spliceosomal RNA". From Rfam's summary of the family: U4 small nuclear RNA (U4 snRNA) is a component of the major U2-dependent spliceosome. The structure of U4 snRNA from yeast and human has been reported. U4 snRNA presents a k-turn RNA motif in the 5p-SL related to recognition of Snu13 protein. Lineage: Eukaryota; Metazoa; Chordata; Mammalia; Primates; Hominidae. The record is from RNAcentral.
AGCUUUGUACAGUGGCAGUAUCAUAGCCAAUGAGGUUUAUCUGAGGCAUGAUUAUUGCUAAUUGAAAACUUUAUUUCUUGCG